This is a long non-coding RNA of Leptopilina heterotoma, 236 nucleotides long. RefSeq lists it as uncharacterized. The transcript is spliced from 3 exons. The record is from RefSeq and is a predicted model, not a curated record. Lineage: Eukaryota; Metazoa; Arthropoda; Insecta; Hymenoptera; Figitidae.
AUGAAUUGAUGAAUUUUAAUUCUCCAAAGUUUAUAAUUUCUAUAGUACGCAGUUUGAAAAUAAAUUCUCAUUUCAAAGUAUGUUCUUCUCGUGAAUAUUAAACACGUGGCAUUAUAAAUUUUUGAUUGGAAUUUUCUUUUUGGAAUUUAAUUGGAAGGAUAGUCCAAAGGAGGAGGAGAAGUGAUGCUACUGCUGAAAAAAGUGCGAUCAAUUGUUUCCUGUCGAGUUUAAUUCGU